GAUAUGUUGGUAGGAGCCUUCAGCGACUUUCCAUGUAACGACAAUAUGGUCAGAGCCCUUAGAAGAUGGACGUAUAACUAGAUCGCCAACUUGCAUUUUCGACAGAUAUGCUUCGGCUUGAGAGGCAUUUAAAUCCUUAAAUAACGGGUGCUUAAUUACGCGAGCAACUCGUUGUUCAGCCUGUGUUUCGGCCUGCAUCCUCUCA
Molecule: non-coding RNA, 205 nt
Organism: Schizosaccharomyces pombe (fission yeast)
Lineage: Eukaryota; Fungi; Ascomycota; Schizosaccharomycetes; Schizosaccharomycetales; Schizosaccharomycetaceae
Source: the annotation of a GenBank genome assembly